This 301-nucleotide ribosomal RNA is filed under the name uncultured bacterium. RNAcentral's name for it is "partial 16S ribosomal RNA". It matches the Rfam family "Bacterial small subunit ribosomal RNA", at positions 509 to 807 of the family's 1533-position model. The record is from RNAcentral.
CAGUCGCCGCGGGAAUACAGAGGGUGCAAGCGUUAAUCGGAAUUACUGGGCGUAAAGCGCGCGUAGGUGGUUUGUUAAGUUGGAUGUGAAAUCCCCGGGCUCAACCUGGGAACUGCAUCCAAAACUGGCAAGCUAGAGUAUGGUAGAGGGUGGUGGAAUUUUCUGUGUAGCGGUGAAAUGCGUAGAUAUAGGAAGGAACACCAGUGGCGAAGGCGACCACCUGGACUGAUACUGACACUGAGGUGCGAAAGCGUGGGGAGCAAACAGGAUUAGAGACCCCUGUAGUCCCUGUCUCUUAUAC